AUGGCGGCUUCGGUGCGAGGCGUCCUGAUGGUCCCGCUCCCGCCUCCGCUCGCUUCCCCGCGCCGCCUCGCCCUGUCCCCGCGGAGGCGCCGCCGUCGCCUCCCCAGGGUCCGCGCGGCUGCGGUGGAGCCCGUCGAGGUGGUGGGCGUCGGGAGCCGGAAGGACGCCGUCAUCGACUUCUGCCUCGGCUCCCGCACCCUCUCCUCCACCCCGAUCCGCUUCUGGACAGUACAUGUGGAUAAUUCUGAAGUGCAAUUCAUACCGAGAAUUCAGGAUACAGAGACAGCAGUUGGAGUCUUGGAACGUCCCUUAUCUCUUCAUCCUUGCCCGUCGGCGGUUAUUAUUGUUGCAAGUGCCGGACAGGAGGCUGAUCAAAUCGCUGCACUGGAGCUUCUAAGUGCUACCAAAUCUGCUGAUAAUCUGGCUGCAUCAAUAUUUUUGAAGCCCUUUUGUUUCGAGGGACAAAGACGGCAAUUGGAGGCAUCUGAUUUGAUUGUUAAAUUUCAAGCAUGCUCGAAUUUUCACAUUGUUAUUGAAGCUGAUUCACUGCUUGAGACGGAAGUGGAAACUCUUGCUGAAGCUUUGGAAAGUGCCAAUAAUGCUGUCCUCUCAACUAUUAGUAUGAUAUCCAUCAUGAUGUCGGGAUUUAAUCAAAUGUUCUGGAGCUCCCUUGAUGCACAAAUUAAGGAAGUUGAUCCUGAUGAAGUAGGCAAACUACUCAAAAGCUAUGGGGAAGCUAGGGUUGGAUUUGGUGCUGGUUAUAAUGUCCAAUCAGCUAUUAAACAGGCUGUUCUUCACUGUCCAUUUCUUCGUGGUGGCAUAAAGGACUUGAACAAUGUUGUUUUUCUGUCGCUUACAACUUCCCGGGUAUUGGCCGAGAGUGAUAUGAUCUCCAUUCUACACAUCUUUCGUCGAGUUACUGGGUUCACUAAGGACAUUAUAUUUUCUAGAAAUUCUGAACCUGAUCUAGAGCCAAAACUCAUAGUAGUUUCUCUUCUAACAAUUCGAAAUGCCCGUGAUGAAAAUGUUGCCUCAGUAAAGGAGGGGUUUCUUUUGAGCAUGGCUUUGCAUUUUCCUUUUAUAUCAUCUCUUAUGGGAGGAGAUACUCAGGAGCUUAGACAAGCUCGGUUAAAUCACUCAUUCAGCCAAUUGCCUGACAGUGGAUUGAGCUUAGCGGAUCAAGGAUUGCCAGAACAUUUCAGUGUUUCUAAUGAUGCUACUGUUUCUAAUUUACGUUCUGACAAAAUAGAAAAUAUCAAAUCUGAGAGGGAAUGUGAUAACAGUAAUGGGAGAAUACAUCCAGAGUUUAAAGAAGCUAAUUUAGAGUCUGAUGGAGAAACUAGUAUAGAUGUUGGCAGAGAGGAUCCAAGUUCACAACAGGAGCGUAAUUUCUGGAGUAAUGCCUUUGGUAUCGCACAAUUGUGGGCUAAAGAGCGGACCACAACAGGUAGAAGCAAUAAAAGGAAUGAGCUCGAUUAUAUCACUCUGCCUGUUGGUGUAAAAUCUCUUGAGGUUCAGUAUGAUCAUUCUCCAAAUACACAGCCUGAAACCCAUAAUGCUACCGAUAGCACACCUCUAUCUACUGGGCAUGCUGUCUCUGGAACCUCACUUUCUGGUGUUGGUUUGGAGAAAGUGAUGGAGAUAUGUAGUUCUGCAGCGGCAUUUCUAAAGGGCAGAAUGGAUAAAUCUCGAAAACGUGGUUCUGCUGCCAGCCGAGCUGCAUCGAUGCUCGAUGCAGAAAGAGAACCCGAAAAAACAUGGAGCCCAAUAGUUGAAAUACAGUUUGGAGAAGGGACUUACAGAGGGAGAUGCCAAGAAGGUGUCCCUGAAGGAAAGGGACGCUUAACCUACAGUGAUGGUAGCAUCUAUGAUGGACUCUGGAGGUAUGGCAAGAGAUCCGGUUUGGGAACACUUUAUUACAGUAAUGGUGAUGUAUUUCAUGGAACAUGGAGGGACGAUCUUAUUCAUGGAAAGGGUUGGUACUAUUUUCACAGUGGUGACCGUUGGUUUGCGAAUUUCUGGAAGGGGAAGGCUAAUGGCGAGGGGAGAUUUUAUGCCAAGGAUGGGAGUAUACUCUUUGGCCAUUUUCAAAAUGGAUGGCGUCAUGGAGAGUGCCUGUUGAUAGAUGGGAAUGGAUCAAGGUGGCUUGAAGUUUGGGACGAUGGUGUACUUACCGGACGGACUAAAUUGGAAGAAUAG
This 2199-nucleotide ribosomal RNA is filed under the name Triticum aestivum (bread wheat). Its description in RNAcentral is "partial small subunit ribosomal RNA". Lineage: Eukaryota; Viridiplantae; Streptophyta; Magnoliopsida; Poales; Poaceae. The record is from RNAcentral.